UACGGAGGGUGCGAGCGUUAAUCGGAAUUACUGGGCGUAAAGCGUGCGUAGACGGUUAUUUAAGUCAGGUGUGAAAGCCCCGGGCUCAACCUGGGAAUUGCAUUUGAGACUGAAUAGCUAGGGUGCGGAAGAGGGAAGCGGAAUUUCCGGUGUAGCGGUGAAAUGCGUAGAUAUGCGGAGGAACACCGAUGGCGAAGGCAAUCCCCUGGGCCUGCACUGACGCUCAUGCACGAAAGCGUGGGGAGCAAACAGG
Molecule: ribosomal RNA, 253 nt
Filed under: uncultured bacterium
Lineage: Bacteria
Description: partial 16S ribosomal RNA
Rfam family: Bacterial small subunit ribosomal RNA
Source: RNAcentral